Molecule: ribosomal RNA, 497 nt
Filed under: uncultured bacterium
Lineage: Bacteria
Description: partial 16S ribosomal RNA
Rfam family: Bacterial small subunit ribosomal RNA
Source: RNAcentral
GAUGAACGCUGGCGGCGUGCCUAAUACAUGCAAGUCGAGCGAACAGACGAGGAGCUUGCUCCUCUGACGUUAGCGGCGGACGGGUGAGUAACACGUGGAUAACCUACCUAUAAGACUGGGAUAACUUCGGGAAACCGGAGCUAAUACCGGAUAAUAUAUUGAACCGCAUGGUUCAAUAGUGAAAGACGGUUUUGCUGUCACUUAUAGAUGGAUCCGCGCCGCAUUAGCUAGUUGGUAAGGUAACGGCUUACCAAGGCGACGAUGCGUAGCCGACCUGAGAGGGUGAUCGGCCACACUGGAACUGAGACACGGUCCAGACUCCUACGGGAGGCAGCAGUAGGGAAUCUUCCACAAUGAGCGAAAGCCUGACGGAGCAACGCCGCGUGAGUGAUGAAGGUCUUCGGAUCGUAAAACUCUGUUAUUAGGGAAGAACAAAUGUGUAAGUAACUAUGCACGUCUUGACGGUACCUAAUCAGAAAGCCACGGCUAACUACGUG